This 410-nucleotide ribosomal RNA is filed under the name Verrucomicrobiota bacterium. RNAcentral describes it as "Verrucomicrobia bacterium partial 16S ribosomal RNA". It matches the Rfam family "Bacterial small subunit ribosomal RNA", at positions 355 to 776 of the family's 1533-position model. The record is from RNAcentral. Lineage: Bacteria; Pseudomonadati; Verrucomicrobiota.
UGGGGAAUAUUGCGCAAUGGGGGAAACCCUGACGCAGCGACGCCGCGUGCGGGAUGAAGGCCUUCGGGUUGUAAACCGCUUUUGAUUGGGAGCAAGCUUUCGGGUGAGUGUACCUUUCGAAUAAGCGCCGGCUAACUACGUGCCAGCAGCCGCGGUAAUACGUAGGGGGCUAGCGUUAUCCGGAUUUACUGGGCGUAAAGGGUGCGUAGGUGGUCUUUCAAGUCGGUGGUUAAAGGCUACGGCUCAACCGUAGUUAGCCUCCGAAACUGGAAGACUUGAGUGCAGGAGAGGAAAGUGGAAUUCCCAGUGUAGCGGUGAAAUGCGUAGAUAUUGGGAGGAACACCAGUAGCGAAGGCGGCUUUCUGGACUGCAACUGACACUGAGGCACGAAAGCGUGGGUAGCAAACAGG